Molecule: transfer RNA, 56 nt
Filed under: Aedes aegypti (yellow fever mosquito)
Lineage: Eukaryota; Metazoa; Arthropoda; Insecta; Diptera; Culicidae
Rfam family: tRNA
About the family: Transfer RNA (tRNA) molecules are approximately 80 nucleotides in length.
Source: Rfam by way of RNAcentral
UAGCUUAGUUGGUAAAGCGCUCGUUAGCAUACAAGAGUCCUGGGUUCAAAUCCCAG